Non-coding RNA from Elaeis guineensis (African oil palm), 743 nucleotides. The record is from RefSeq and is a predicted model, not a curated record. Lineage: Eukaryota; Viridiplantae; Streptophyta; Magnoliopsida; Arecales; Arecaceae.
ACUCAACACAGCUAAAAGAUUCCCAACAACAUCAUGUAUCAUAUUCAUGUACUAUUAUUGCUCGAUCUCCCUCGAGACAAGGAUAUAUAGAAUUGAAUGCCAUUGAGUUUAGUAUCCAAAGCUUCAUUAGAUUUCCUUGUCGCAGGUAGAUCAGUGACUAAAAGAUGUCAGAGGCAUCACUCCAUAAACGACCUCGGCUAGCAACAAUAACAAGAACAACAAGCGAAGCAAAGUUCUCUGAAGAAGAACCUACAAAGGCUGAAGCAUUUCACAAACCCAAGAUCACCACUGGGGGCUCCACUCAUCCUCCUGCACCACUCUCCCAGAAAGGAGCUUGCCAAAAGCCUCAAGAUUUAACACGGCCUCUCCAUUUCUUGCAUGUUUGCGGUGUAUGCAGGCGCCCACUUGGAUUGGAACAAGAUAUUUAUAUAUAUCGGGGUGACACUGCCUUCUGCAGCAUUGAGUGCCGAGAGAAACAUAUGAAGUAUGACUUCCUAAAGGGUACUUCUCCUUUCCAUCAGUGAACAACCAUGCGACAAGCCGGCAUUGGAUUUGAAACCUAAAAAUGCGAAUCUGGGAUUUUUGUGUGGGAGGCCGCCCUCAAUAAUUAAUGUGUUGCUAGAAUGAAUUCGUUAUUUGCAAUAGAUCGGCAAUGUAUGAAUGUAAAAAAAAUCUCCAUAAAUGCAAAUAUUUUUGCUCAUAUGGAUGCAAUUUGAACUCAAGAAAUUUUGGCUUCUCGUUCA